Molecule: long non-coding RNA, 4550 nt
Filed under: Brassica napus (rape)
Lineage: Eukaryota; Viridiplantae; Streptophyta; Magnoliopsida; Brassicales; Brassicaceae
Description: long non-coding RNA (BNAP_LNC025515)
Source: RNAcentral
GAACGUGACUUUAUGGAAGAAAGUUCAUGUGAUAUAUAGCUUCUUCGUAGUGAGAAAGAUUGUGGCACACAUUGUUACAUUCAUCUUCUAUUGUGUGGUCUUACCGGCUACGGUUCUUGUACCUGAAGUUACUGUACCUAAAUGGGGAGCGGUUUACAUUCCGUCCAUCAUUACUCUGCUCAACGCUGUCGGUACACCUAGGUAAAAAAAAUAUUCCAAAGAUUUUCUUACGGCUCAAGUGACGUCUCGUUUAGCCUCUCGUUGUUUGUUACACGUAUCUUAUAGGUCACUACAUCUCAUGGUAUUUUGGAUUCUGUUCGAGAAUGUGAUGUCUCUUCACAGAACAAAAGCUACCUUCAUCGGUUUACUCGAAGGAGGAAGAGUUAACGAGUGGAUUGUCACUGAGAAGCUCGGUGAUCUUAAGGCUAAGUCAGCAACCAAGGCUCCAAAGAAGCUUCGUUUUAGAUUUGGAGAUAGGUAAGCUUCUCCACGUGUCUUAUAGGUCACUGAAUCUUAUUUGCACUUUUGUUUCAUUCUAAUAACUUUUCUUUGGCAGAAUCCAUGUGUUGGAACUCGGUGUAGGAAUGUAUCUGUUUUCUAUCGGAUGCUAUGACGCGUUAUUUGGGAAGAAUCAUUAUUAUCUAUACCUUUUCGCGCAAGCAUUCGCCUUCUUCAUCGCUGGAUGUGGGCAGAUUGGGACAGUGGUGCCUAACUAUUGAAUGGAAAAUGGAUUGAUCGAGCUACAAACUGCUCGAGAAUAAGAUGAUGAUUUUAUAUUUUUUUCUUGGCUACUCUUUAAUUUCUUCCUGGUGUGAAUAGAGAGAAUUGAUGAUACGAUUGUUACAGAAGAUGGUGUGUGUAGUUGUGGAAGAUAUGGAUACCUAUAGUAAAGAAGAAUAUAUAUAUUUUCAAGGGGGGUUUUCAUAUUCCUCAAAGACAAUACAUCAUUUCUUGCAAGACAAAAGCUUUUGAUUCCAAUUUCUUUGUAUCAAAUUAUUGUAUUGUACAAAUAUGGAGGUACAUGAUAAAGGAAGUCAUAGUUUCCGAUGCUCCGCCGCCUUUCAAUAAUGCCUGAGAUCUGGUUUCCGCCAUAGUUUCCGAUCGCUUCGCCACCGUUUCCGAGGAAAGAAUGUCUCUGAUACCACUGAUAAAAGAAGUCACUCCUUUAUGAUCGAUCUAAUGUUCUUGAAACACCAAAUCGUAGCUCUCGAGUAAUAGAUCUAUAAGAGAGAAAGAUCUAAAUCCUCAAAUAACAAUCCAUGAAUCGAUAUUAGAAUUCCAGAGGUUUUUAAGAAAGUUUUACAAAUGAUUUCUGAAUGAACUGAAUAGAGUACGCAGACUCUGUUUUAUCUACUCCAAAAGAUGAACUCCUCCGAUCAGCUGGCGCGAAGCCGUUGUAACAAACUCUUAACUUCUCCCUUCCUCCACUAGUUACUCAACACGUGUCUCUUACUUCUCCUGUAUCAGUACACGAUAAUCACAUUCUAUGAAAUAGCUUGCAACAUGCAGGAUUUGAAAGAAUUGUCAUCUUUUGCAUCUUUUAUUCAAACAAACGUUGCCUUUGUGGUCGCUACUUCUAUAAUGUUUGAAGGUUUUCUUUCGAAUGAGAAAGAAUGAUAAAUUGUUUUCUUUAUUGCAUAUAGUGGGCCAUAUAGUGGUAACUGAACGUUUAUAUUGUUUGGUUUCUUCAGUUCAGUUGAAACAUAGUUUCUAGAUGACCAAAUUUUUAUGGGUUUGGACUAAAAAAAAAUUACUAAACCACCAUACACAGAAUAAAACUGGAUCUACAAAAAAAUUGCAAAUUUGCAAUCAUAUCAAAAAUGAUAUUAGUGUAAGUCUUUUUAAUCUAGAUUGGACAUGUAACAAGGUUCAGAAAAGGAAAAAAACAAUUUGCAGGCUGAACAGUGACUAAUUACAUAUACUUUGUGUGUUAAUAAUGUUUUUUUAAUACUAUUAAAUUAUGACUUUUGAAUGUAAGACUAAUUGGAGAGGGUAGAGAUGGGUCAUAUUAAAUUAAUACAUAUAUCUAAGAUUAAAACCUAUGAACGUAUUAUAAGAUAUCAUAAACUAAUAGCACAUGAGUUGAUCACUGUUUUAAGAGAAUCUUAUUUUACAGUAAUUUAAAAGCAUGGGUUUAUUUAUUUAAUAAGAAAAUUAUGUUUACAUAAAGAAAGUUUUUAUUACAUUAACAGAAGUGUCGGUGGGUGUUUUAUACUUUUAUUGAUAGGUCCCAAUAUAACCUAACCUAGCGGAUCUUGAUGUCGACGUAUCGAUUUUGUUCGUGAUCUUCGUGCUCUAGCUUUAAAAUUUUAAAUGUGGAGCCACUUUCUUUUGCAAAUAGUUUUUAUUAGUACUAACAAAUUAUUUUUGAAUGAUCUAGAGGCAUAUUCCAUAUAAUAUAGGCAAUAUCCCUUCUAACAAAUCCCAUAUUAAAUAGAAGAAAACAUUUCGGGAAAUAUAAGAAAACAUCAAGGAAUAUAAAGUUUAAUAUUUUGUUGUCCUUUGUGUUAGGUAUGCCUGCAGUAGGAGUUGGUAAAUAUUUGGUUUGUGUGUCUGGCUUUUUGUUGAUUUUUGAUGAAAAAUAUGCAUUGUCCACACAUUUUCAACAGAGUGAUGUUUUUCCACAUUAGUCAAUAGAUUGUCCACCAGUGAAUCUAUAACUUCUGGCAUUCAAAAGCUGCAGCGUAUUUAGCUUUGAACGAUCUAGCCUUCAUAAAAUAAACACCCGAAUUUUGAAGUAAUUUCUUCGAAUAAAAAAUAAGUUUUGCAUGCAAACAUUCAUCGACAUAUUAAUAUUUAGAAAACCAAAAUAUAAAUAAUCAGAUUAGAACAGAGCUUAGUGUUUAGUGGCGUUGCUUCACUGGCAUCGUGGUCGUGUCCCAUAAUUAGUGCAGAGAACAUAUAGGGAAGGGGCUUGUUUUGUCAUUUAGUAAAUAUAGUAUUAGGUAGAUCAGUCAUUUUUGUUAGUAGAUACGCCACGUGUACUUGCCAGCGCCCUCUAUCUUCCAUGUGCAAUAUCUGGGUCCCACACUGGUCUCUUCUCUACUAGUCUCUGUCACUCUCAUCACUCACUUUUCUUUUUCAAGUAAAAUUUGUUUGUUUUUUUUUACUUCCAGUACUAAUACAACCAGCUAUUGAAACUCGCUUUUAUUUUAUUAACGAUGUCUUUUAGUCUCACGAGCUAUUUUAUUUUAGACAAAAAAAAUAGUAAUAAUAAAAAGAAAUCAUGUGAACUUGUGAAGUAGAUCGACAAAAUCUAACGAGUUGUUGAAAUCUAAUUGGGGGAGAUCAGAAGAGUCUGAGCUGUCUAUAGUUUUUUUUUUUAGCUGUCUAUAGUUUGAUAAUUGAAAAUAUUUAUUUCAAUGUCACCAACUGGUUUUUAAUGUCUUCAUCAAUACCACAUUAAUUGAUUGUUUGCUACGCAAAUAUUAAUUGAAAUCCAUUAUUCAAUUUUUGUUCCUUCUAAUUUUGCAGUAAAUUCGGAUGAAUGUUUAAUGACAAGAAUGCAAGAAAUGUCGUUGGAUUAUCAUUUUACGGUCGAACAAGAAGUUGGUUCUUCUACAUACGCAUUCUUCGGUUUCAACGGUACUUACUUUGUUUCUUUUCAUUAUAUAUUGUUGUCUUAUUCAAGUUUCAUAACAUUUGCUUACUAUCAUUUUAGGGACUGCGGGAAUAUGGAGAAUAUCGGCAUUAAACGAAGCUGGUGGUUGGAAAGAUAGAACGACCGUAGAAGAUAUGGAUUUGGCCGUUCGAGCUAGUCUCAAGGGUUGGAAAUUUUUGUACCUUGGUUCUUUGAAGGUAUACUUUGCCUCUUCAUGAUUCAACAAUGUGUAUGUAUUAGUGGUUGAUAUGCAAAUAGUUUUAUUGAUACAUGUGGUUGUUAAAUAUUAUAGGUUAAAAACGAGUUACCAAGUACAUUCAAGGCGUAUAGGUAUCAACAGCACAGGUGGUCAUGUGGUCCAGCAAAUCUUUUCAGGAAAAUGGCAUUUGAAAUCAUGACCAACAAGGUUUUUACUUUAAACUCUUUUCUUCUCCCUCCACACUAAAAUAGAAAAAUGAACUGGUUAAUUCAGUAAGUUAACCAAUACUUACAUUCAACAUAUCAAACCCAAAAACGUUUCUCUAGUUUUGUAGUCUUGGUUGGUCUCCACAUUUAUUUAAGUUCCCGUUUAAAUAGAUUUUUUUUUCUUUUUGGCAGAACGUGACAUUAUGGAAGAAAGUUCAUGUGAUAUAUAGCUUCUUCGUGGUGAGAAAGAUCGUGGCACACAUUGUUACAUUCAUCUUCUAUUGUGUGGUCUUACCGGCUACGGUUCUUGUACCUGAAGUUAUUGUACCUAAAUGGGGAGCGGUUUACAUUCCGUCCAUCAUUACUCUCCUCAACGCCGUCGGUACACCUAGGUAAAUAAAUAUCCCAAAGAGUUUCUUACGGCUCAAGUGACGUCUCGUUUAGCCUCUCAUUGUUUGUUACACGUAUCUUAUAGGUCACUCCAUCUCAUGGUAUUUUGGAUUCUGUUCGAGAAUGUGAUGUCUCUUCACAGAACAAAAGCUAC